CUCCUCAUAGUUUAACCGGAUAAAACUACCGCCUCCUAAGCGGUUGAUCGGGGUUCGAGUCCCUGUGAGGAGGCCA
Molecule: transfer RNA, 76 nt
Filed under: Bacterioplanoides sp. SCSIO 12839
Lineage: Bacteria; Pseudomonadati; Pseudomonadota; Gammaproteobacteria; Oceanospirillales; Oceanospirillaceae
Description: tRNA-Arg
Rfam family: tRNA
About the family: Transfer RNA (tRNA) molecules are approximately 80 nucleotides in length.
Source: RNAcentral